AUUGAACGCUGGCGGCAUGCCUUACACAUGCAAGUCGAACGGCAGCACGGGAGCUUGCUCCUGGUGGCGAGUGGCGAACGGGUGAGUAAUACAUCGGAACGUACCCUGAAGUGGGGGAUAACGUAGCGAAAGUUACGCUAAUACCGCAUAUUCUGUGAGCAGGAAAGAGGGGGAUCGCAAGACCUCUUGCUUUUAGGAGCGGCCGAUGUCGGAUUAGCUAGUCGGUGAGGUAAAGGCUCACCAAGGCGACGAUCCGUAGCGGGUCUGAGAGGAUGAUCCGCCACACUGGGACUGAGACACGGCCCAGACUCCUACGGGAGGCAGCAGUGGGGAAUUUUGGACAAUGGCGCAAGCCUGAUCCAGCCAUGCCGCGUGAGUGAAGAAGGCCUCGG
This 392-nucleotide ribosomal RNA is filed under the name uncultured bacterium. Its description in RNAcentral is "bacterial SSU rRNA". It matches the Rfam family "Bacterial small subunit ribosomal RNA", at positions 30 to 420 of the family's 1533-position model. The record is from RNAcentral.